This is a long non-coding RNA of Ailuropoda melanoleuca (giant panda), 669 nucleotides long. RefSeq lists it as uncharacterized. The transcript has 3 exons. Lineage: Eukaryota; Metazoa; Chordata; Mammalia; Carnivora; Ursidae. The record is from RefSeq and is a predicted model, not a curated record.
CUUUACUUCUCCCUCCCCAAAGUGCUAGUUGUUGUCAUCCUUGAUGGCUGUCCUGGGGCUGCUGCACGGGACCCCCAGGAAACUGAAAGAAGUAUGCCAAGAGCUGCUAUUCUUCCUGCAAGGAGCAAAUCUUUGCCUUAAAUUAAAUCUUAAACAGAAGCCCAACAUAAAUAAACCAGGUCUCCUACAAGUUCACCGUGUAGGUAAGAGCCGGCAUUGCUCUGGUUAAAUAGGGGACCCAGAGUACCUGCGCCUUCCCACCUGCAGCAGCCCCUGCAGCCCCCGAAGCACCCCCAUGGACCUAGGGUUCCACAAAAUAUGGUGCAAAAACCAACCAGCCAGCUUCUGUGUCCCUCGAGAACAUCCCUUCCACCCUGUCCUGCUUGCAGUCUUUCUCAGGAACUUUGAGAGAAAUAAAUGGAAGCAAGAACAGAAAUCUUCAUUCAUCAGACCCGACUGGACCAGCUCCCGCCAGCAUUCUGAGGAGCAUGUGGGAGAGUGGGGACAGCACGGGACCAGGAGCCAAGAUGUCAGCGUCUCAGGCUUGCUCCACCACUAGCGAGCAGGUGAUCUUGGAUGAGCCAGAGCCACCUGAGAGGACACCUCUCCUGUACCCCCUUCAGAGUGCCUUUGAGGGCCAAAUAAAGUAGCCUUGCACAUUGCAUACCC